RNAcentral lists this ribosomal RNA (870 nucleotides) under uncultured Acidobacteriota bacterium. Its description in RNAcentral is "bacterial SSU rRNA". It matches the Rfam family "Bacterial small subunit ribosomal RNA", at positions 1 to 724 of the family's 1533-position model. The record is from RNAcentral. Lineage: Bacteria; Pseudomonadati; Acidobacteriota.
ACCACCCCACACGCGACAAAAAACUAAUGGAAAAAACUCUCGCUGGUCGGGCGCUGCCUACCCCCAUUCAUAUUCGAAACGCGAAAAGUCCCUUCAGUGGAAUUAGUAGAGUGGCGUCCUGGGUGAGUACGCGUUGUGUAACUCUACCUUCGGGUGUGGGAAUAACCCAGUGGAAACUUGUGGCUAAUACCGCAUUAUGCAGCGGCUCGACAUCGAGACAGUUGUUAAAGCAGCAAUGCGCCUGAAGAGGAGCCUGCGUCUGAUUAGCUUGUUGGUGAGGUAAUGGCUCACCAAGGCUACGAUCAGUAGCUGGUCUGAGAGGACGGCCAGCCACAAAUGGCACUGAAACACGGGCCAUACUCCUACGGGAGGCAGCAGUGGGGAAUUUUGCGCAAUGGGCGAAAGCCUGACGCAGCAACGCCGCGUUGAAGGAUGAAAUCCUUCGGGAUGUAAACUUCGCAAAGUAUUGGGAAGAAACAACAUGACGGUACCAUAUGUAAGCCCCGGCUAACUCCGUGCCAGCAGCCGCGGUAAUACGGGGGGGGCAAGCGUUGUACGGAAUUACUGGGCGUAAAGAGCGCGAAGGCGGGUCUUCAAGUCGAGUGUGAAAGCCCCAGGAGUUAAACUAUGGGAAAUUGAACCUCAGAUACUAGGUAGAGGCUAAGAAGUAGUUAGGACAGUGGGACUAACUAGCGAAAUUACCAGUAGUAGUUAGACGGAUAGAAAAUUGCCGUAAGCAUAUACCGGGAGGGAAAGAAUCCAUGAGUCUGCAACGGCCGAGGGUUAUCAUUAAGGACCCAGCGACUUGAACGGCCUUAAGAGAUUGGAGAAAAAUCCAUACAGGUGUGAGACCAAGAAAAGAGAGAACAU